This 876-nucleotide ribosomal RNA is filed under the name Triticum aestivum (bread wheat). RNAcentral describes it as "partial small subunit ribosomal RNA". Lineage: Eukaryota; Viridiplantae; Streptophyta; Magnoliopsida; Poales; Poaceae. The record is from RNAcentral.
AUGAAGGAUCUAGGAGUAGCUGAUGUUAUCUUAAACAUCAAGCUAUUGAGAGAUGACUAUGGUGGGAUCACACUGCUUCAGUCUCACUAUGUGGAAAAGAUCUUGAGUCGUUUUGGGUAUAGCGACUGCACGCCUUCUCCAACUCCAUAUGAUGCUAGUGUGUUGCUUCGAAAGAAUCGAUGGAUUGCUAGAGAUCAACUGAGGUAUUCUCAGAUUAUUGGCUCGCUUAUGUAUUUGGCGAGUGCCACAAGGCCUGACAUCUCUUUUGCUGUGAGCAAGCUGAGUCGGUUUGUGUCAAACCCGGGAGAUGAUCAUUGGCAUGCGCUUGAGAGAGUUAUGCGCUAUUUGAAAGGCACCGCGAGCUAUGGGAUUCACUACACCAGGUAUCCAAGGGUACUGGAGGGUUAUAGUGACUCAAACUGGAUAUCUAAUGCUGAUGAGAUUAAGGCCACAAGUGGUUAUGUUUUCACACUUGGUGGUGGCGCUGUUUCCUGGAAGUCUUGCAAGCAGACCAUCUUAACGAGGUCAACUAUGGAAGCAGAACUCACAGCAUUAGACACUGCCACUGUUGAAGCAGAGUGGCUUCGUGAGCUGUUGAUGGACUUACCUAUGGUCGAAAAACCAAUACCCCCUAUCCUGAUGAACUGUGAUAAUCAAAUUGUGAUCAUCAAGAUAAACAGUUCUAAGGACAAUAUGAAGUCCUCAAGGCAUGUGAAGAGGAGACUAAAAUCUGUUAGAAAACUGAGGAACUCCAGAGUUAUUAUGUUGGAUUAUAUCCAAACGUCGAAAAACUUGGCAGAUCCCUUCACAAAGGGUCUAUCACGUAAUGUGAUAGAUAAUGCAUCGAUGGAGAUGGGUUUGAGAUCCACCGCAUGA